Molecule: long non-coding RNA, 1592 nt
Filed under: Spirodela polyrhiza (greater duckweed)
Lineage: Eukaryota; Viridiplantae; Streptophyta; Magnoliopsida; Alismatales; Araceae
Description: long non-coding RNA (SPOL_LNC000527)
Source: RNAcentral
GGCCGGCGAAGACCCGCGCGAAGAAGUCAAUCGCCACCUUCAAGCUCCGGGAAGGCACCACCGUCGGCGCCGCCGUCACCCUCCGCGGCAAUGUUCGUCCAUUCUCCUCCCUCUUCUCUUCCUUCUUUUCCAAGCUUCUCUCUUCUUUUUCCUGUUUUCUCCAUGUUCUGCUGGGCUUCAAUUUUCUCUGGUUCAUCACCUGUUCUUCAUUUCAUCUGGUACAGGGUGGAUAUAAUAGUGUUGAUUGCCUUUUUUUUCUGAUAAUCUCGAUCUACAUGCAUUCUUCUAUUGGAAUAGUCUGCUAGUACCACCAAAUUGAUUGGGCACUUCUAAAUUUCUGGGUCACAGAUGAAUGCUGAAAAGUAUAUUUUUUGCUCUUCUUUUCUUGGAUGAUUCCCUCCUCCGUCUGCUGCCAUUUCAGUGGAAGAAGAUCGUUUUCCCUGUUUUUCUUCCCCUUUUUCCUAAGGGUUUAGGAGCGUGCUAGGUAAGGGUGCUGAGGUGAACCAGGUGGGGCUGCUCAUUCAUUAGGGUUCACGAUCAGAACAACAUGGUCGGCAGAUUUUAUGGAAAAAUAUAGCGAUGGCUUGAUUUGAAUAUUUUGUGAGAGUGAACUUACUGAUCCGUCAGUUCAUGGUGGAACAAUGUUUCAGCCUUGGAUUGCAGUCUUUUAGGGAACCGGGAAGGAUUUCUUUGCGAUAUUUGAUCCCAUCUUGAACGAUAAUCGGCGCUUAGAUAUUUCACAUCUAUGUGCAGAAAUUCUGUGAGAGGUUUGAAUAAUAGAACGAAAAUCCUUCUUAGAGAGCAGCCACAUUGGAACAGUCGGAUGAAAAUGUUGAUCGAAUUUCCUGACGUGAUGUAAACUUCGUUGAUUCCGGUGCAUAAAUUGUCAUGUUCGGAGAAACAGUACGAUAAUAAAAAUCUGGUUAUCUAUUUAGCUGGUGAAUUACUUCCUCGCUCUAGAAACCGUACGAUGUCUCCAAGCAAAUCCAGAUUUCCUGAUAUGAUUGAAACUUAUGUCAACGGUGAAUGCAGCAGAUCCUUAGUUGAUCCAUGUGCGGAAAUUGUCAUGUUCGGAGAAAUAGUCAGAAAAUAAAAAAUCUGUUAUCUAUUAGCUGCUGAAUUGCUUCCGGAACAUUGUCGCUCUAGAAACCGUACGAUGUCUUCAAGCAAAUCCAAUCCGAGACCGAACGACCUCACCUUACCUCUUCGGAAUUCUGUGAGUGCCGGCAUUUCAGUGCUGGUGAUUGCGCUGCCUUUGAUUUGAAUGAACUAGUAGAUCUGCAGAAGCAUCGAUCCGCUGAAUGUUUGAUCGAAUCUCCGACCGCCGGCGUUUUACGCCGUCCGUCUCAGCAGGAGCAGAUCUGAGAUCUGGUUUCCGUCCGCAGAUGAUGUACUACUUCCUCGACCGGCUGAUAAACCUGGGGCUGCCGCGGACGAGGGACUUCCAGGGCAUCAAUCCCAACAGCUUCGACGGCCACGGGAACUACAGCAUCGGAAUGCGGGACCAGAGCGUCUUCCCGGAGAUCAGGUACGAGGCCCUCGGCAAGCAGAGGGGGAUGGACGUCUGCAUCACCACCACGGCCAAGACCGAC